UACAUGUGGGGCAAGCGUUGUUCGGAAUUACUGGGCAUAAAGGGUGCGUAGGCGGCUUGAUAAGUCAGUGGUGAAAUCCGGUGGCCCAACCAUCGAACUGCCAUUGAUACUGUUGAGCUUGAGUGCGUGAGGGGUAACCGGAACGAGUGGUGUAGCGGUGAAAUGCGUAGAUAUCACUCGGAAGGCCAACGGCGAAGGCAGGUUACUGGUGCGCAACUGACGCUGAGGCACGAAAGCGUGGGGAGCAAACAGG
RNAcentral lists this ribosomal RNA (253 nucleotides) under uncultured bacterium. RNAcentral describes it as "partial 16S ribosomal RNA". It matches the Rfam family "Bacterial small subunit ribosomal RNA", at positions 524 to 776 of the family's 1533-position model. The record is from RNAcentral.